This 445-nucleotide ribosomal RNA is filed under the name uncultured bacterium. RNAcentral's name for it is "partial 16S ribosomal RNA". It matches the Rfam family "Bacterial small subunit ribosomal RNA", at positions 354 to 796 of the family's 1533-position model. The record is from RNAcentral.
GUGAGGAAUAUUGGUCAAUGGGCGGGAGCCUGAACCAGCCAAGUCGCGUGAAGGAAGAAGGAUCUAUGGUUCGUAAACUUCUUUUGCAGGGGAAUAAAGUGCAGGACGUGUCCUGUUUUGUAUGUACCCUGAGAAUAAGGAUCGGCUAACUCCGUGCCAGCAGCCGCGGUAAUACGGAGGAUCCGAGCGUUAUCCGGAUUUAUUGGGUUUAAAGGGUGCGUAGGUGGUUUGAUAAGUCAGCGGUGAAAGUUUGCAGCUUAACUGUAAAAAUGCCGUUGAAACUGUCGGACUUGAGUGUAAAUGAGGUAGGCGGAAUGCGUGGUGUAGCGGUGAAAUACAUAGAUAUCACGCAGAACUCCGAUUGCGAAGGCAGCUUACUAAGCUACAACUGACACUGAAGCACGAAAGCGUGGGGAUCAAACAGGAUUAGAUACCCGUGUAGUCC